Molecule: long non-coding RNA, 1710 nt
Organism: Corythoichthys intestinalis (scribbled pipefish)
Lineage: Eukaryota; Metazoa; Chordata; Actinopteri; Syngnathiformes; Syngnathidae
Exons: 3
Source: RefSeq, a predicted model, not a curated record
GAGUCACCUUCCAUAAGGACUGUAGGUAACUCAACCUCCGGUGUGGCUUGUCUUCUUUGCUUCUACCCUUAGCCACACACGCACCCUUAAUAGCUUCCUUGUUCUUAAGGAUGGUAGCAAUGGUAGACUUAGCGUACUGGUACUGGGACGCUAAGUCACACAAACGCACACCUCGUUCGUGUUUUUCAAUGAUCUCCUUCUUCUGCUCGAUCGUAAUUUUCUUUAAUGUCUUCUUAGGCUUAACACUAGCCCGUGGUGGGUCUUUUUCGGUCCCAUAAUAGCAAAAGUACACUCAAUAUGGUCCAAAAUGUCUAUCAAACACAAACCACGUCCGCACUCAACGAAAGGGAGGGGACGAACUGGGACGCCGUGAGCGUGCGUCAGCUUCUCGUGGCGCUGUUCGACCGCGUGGUUUGGUUCGUCCGCUGAAAACUAGUUCGUCAGCAGAGACUAUAUGCUCGCGAAUUUAAUGUUCUUGAGGCGAAAAGUUCGUGAGCUUAAGCGUUCGUGAGCUGAGGUAUCACUGUAUGUAUAUAUAUAUAUAUAUAUAUAUAUGUAUAUAUUGAAAAUUACAUGCAAAGCAAAUGAGGUGCUCGAAAAAUAAUUUUGACCCAUUAUAAAAAUAUAUUAUUUUGUUCAUUUCAUUCAUUUUUGUUGGUUUUAAUGCUUUACAACUUUAAUAUAUGUAGGAAAGUCAAUUCUAUGCAAUGACACUUUUCGGCCACCAGGGGGUGGGGGGGCUUUGCCCCUCUGGCCCGCGCUUAAAAUCCGCUUAUGGUCCUUUCCUAUUCAUUUGGGGACAUUCUUGAGUGACUUCCUAUUCAGUCACCCAAAAUCAACAGGAAGUGACACAAAAAUGCCCCCAAAUCAACAGAAAGUGACCCAGAUUCUUCAGGAAAUUACCCAAGAUGUGUGGUAUUGGAGUGGGAACGAUAGGAUUUUCUUCGAUUUGAUGUUGGACUCACAGGUUUAUCCUUGAUGGUGGGACUGGAGACGCACAGGUAGAGCUUGCCGUCCUCUUCAAUGCAAGCUUCGAUGAGAGCCUGCACUGACGUUUCCUCCUGGAACAGCAGGAAGGCGUAGCCUUUGGGCGGGAAGUAGGACUUGCUCUCGGCUUUGUGCGGCCAAUCCACCACCAGGUGACCGAAGCGUCGGAAGCUGGAGGUGAUCUCGUCUGAGGGAGAGAACGCAAAUUCACAAACUGACCGACGGAUGAAGUCCGGUCGCUCUGACCUUCAUCGAUGUCAGGUGGCAACCCGCCCACAAAGACCUUGCGGGAGAAGCGCUCGAUGCAUUCUCCGUUCUGAUGCGGGAAGAUGGCCGAGCUGAGAACCCCCGGGUUGGCGUGCCCGUCUUCCAGCAGAUUGUCGUCGAUAGGGAAAAGAGACGAGCGCCCUGGAGGAGGAGAUAAAAGGACUUCAAAUGAUGAUUACCAUUGAGCAUGAGGAGCCCGUCGGCCGCCGGGUUCAAGCAUCCCAUUAAGCCUGGACAGAAAAAAAGAACACACAAAAAAAUUACUUGAGGAAUGAUCAACAAGGUGGACAAAGUGGGAAGUGGUGCAUACUAAAAGGGAGAGAGUACAAAAAAACAAUCAAGAAGAAUUGGUCAGAUUCUUCUGCCAGCCAAUCUUUGUUGCUAGGCAGAAUUUGUGGUGCAAUAAUUGGAAAUUGUGGGCUUGAAAAAAUAACUUCAUUAGUCAAAAAUGACAAA